RNAcentral lists this ribosomal RNA (381 nucleotides) under Gomphus flavipes. RNAcentral describes it as "partial 16S ribosomal RNA". The record is from RNAcentral. Lineage: Eukaryota; Metazoa; Arthropoda; Insecta; Odonata; Gomphidae.
GGCCUCUUGUUUAUAUAUGAGGUCUGACCUGCCCGGUGAAAUUAUUUUAACGGCCGCAGUAUUUUGACUGUGCAAAGGUAGCAUAAUCAUUAGUCUUUUAAUAGGGGGCUGGAAUGAAGGGUUUGACGAGGUGUUAACUGUCUCAUUAGAUUUGUUAUUAAAAUUUAACUUUUCAGUUAAAAGGCUGAAAUUUUAUUGGAAGACGAGAAGACCCUAUAGAGCUUUAUAAUUGAAGGUUUAAUUAUUAUUUGUUUAUUAUUUUUUAUUAUUUCUUUAAUUAUUUUGUUGGGGUGACAAAAAUAUAUAAUUAACUUUUUUAUUUAAUUAACAUUGAUUAAUGAAUAUUAGAUCCAAUCUUAUUGAUUGUUAGAUUAAGUUACC